This 1081-nucleotide ribosomal RNA is filed under the name fungal endophyte. Its description in RNAcentral is "eukaryotic LSU rRNA". The stretch from base 495 to 1081 matches the Rfam family "Eukaryotic large subunit ribosomal RNA", at positions 1 to 599 of the family's 3401-position model. The record is from RNAcentral. Lineage: Eukaryota; Fungi.
AUCAUUCUGAGUUUACGCUCUAUAACCCUUUGUGAACAUACCUAUAACUGUUGCUUCGGCGGGUAGGGUCUCCGCGACCCUCCCGGCCUCCCGCCUCCGGGCGGGUCGGCGCCCGCCGGAGGAUAACCAAACUCUGAUUUAACGACGUUUCUUCUGAGUGGUACAAGCAAAUAAUCAAAACUUUUAACAACGGAUCUCUUGGUUCUGGCAUCGAUGAAGAACGCAGCGAAAUGCGAUAAGUAAUGUGAAUUGCAGAAUUCAGUGAAUCAUCGAAUCUUUGAACGCACAUUGCGCCCGCCAGCAUUCUGGCGGGCAUGCCUGUUCGAGCGUCAUUUCAACCCUCAAGCUCUGCUUGGUGUUGGGGCCCUACAGCUGAUGUAGGCCCUCAAAGGUAGUGGCGGACCCUCCCGGAGCCUCCUUUGCGUAGUAACUUUACGUCUCGCACUGGGAUCCGGAGGGACUCUUGCCGUAAAACCCCCCAAUUUUCCAAAGGUUGACCUCGGAUCAGGUAGGAAUACCCGCUGAACUUAAGCAUAUCAAUAAGCGGAGGAAAAGAAACCAACAGGGAUUGCCUCAGUAACGGCGAGUGAAGCGGCAACAGCUCAAAUUUGAAAUCUGGCCCUAGGCCCGAGUUGUAAUUUGCAGAGGAUGCUUUUGGUGCGGUGCCUUCCAAGUUCCCUAGAACGGGACGCCAGAGAGGGUGAGAGCCCCGUACAGUUGGACACCAAGCCUUUGUAAAGCUCCUUCGACGAGUCGAGUAGUUUGGGAAUGCUGCUCAAAAUGGGAGGUAUAUUUCUUCUAAAGCUAAAUACCGGCCAGAGACCGAUAGCGCACAAGUAGAGUGAUCGAAAGAUGAAAAGCACUUUGAAAAGAGGGUUAAACAGCACGUGAAAUUGUUAAAAGGGAAGCGCUUGUGACCAGACUUGCGUCCGGUGAAUCACCCAGCUCUCGCGGCUGGGGCACUUCGCCGGCUCAGGCCAGCAUCAGCUCGCUGUCGGGGACAAAAGCUUCAGGAACGUAGCUCUCUUCGGGGAGUGUUAUAGCCUGUUGCACAAUACCCUUCGGCGGGCUGAGGUACGCG